Molecule: non-coding RNA, 28 nt
Filed under: Homo sapiens (human)
Lineage: Eukaryota; Metazoa; Chordata; Mammalia; Primates; Hominidae
Source: RNAcentral
UGGUGGAUGCACUGGUGGUACCUGUAAA